UUAGUACUCUCUCCGUACAACAAAAGAUGUUUUAAGUUUGUCAAAAUUUAGAUGUAUUUAGACAUGACUUAGUGUACAAAUGCAUUCAAAUUUGAUCAAAGUUGAGACAUUCUUUGUUGGACGGAGGGAGUACAAA
Molecule: non-coding RNA, 136 nt
Organism: Brachypodium distachyon (stiff brome)
Lineage: Eukaryota; Viridiplantae; Streptophyta; Magnoliopsida; Poales; Poaceae
Source: Rfam